CGGUGCCUCCCGGAGGGCGGCUGUUUGUGCUGGGGGGAUUGUCGCCUAGGGAGGAGUUAAUGCGGAUAAAUUCGAAGUCACAGCUGAGGCUUAUAGAUAUGUAAACAUAUAUAUGUGAUUACACGUCUAUUUAUAAAGGUGAUUUUGAGGCCGUCAUAAUGAGAAACCAAGAAAUUUCAGCUUGCCUAGGGAAUGUUUCUUACACAGAUGUACGGCACUGUGCAGGCUGUGAUGCUGCAGCCGGAUCCCAGUGCUUUGGGAAGAUUAAACGUGGUCUCCCCAAAGCCAAAGACCCCCAGACUGUGCCCCCAGCCGCAGGCCUGCAGGCACAGACCAUGCACAGCACUGCGGAGGAGCGCUGUACAGGAUCAUUUUUGUCUCAGAUUCCUGCAUUUUCCUGAGAACCAGAUCCUGCAUCUUCUUAAAGCACAACAGGAAUAGAGAUCAGUGCUUGCCCAGCCAACAUUUGUGUUUGGAAAGAAGGACCACCCUUUGAAGGUAAAAACUUUAACUUCUGUUUUUCAUCAUUGAUAAAAGAAUACUGGAAAUGAAGAUUGUAUAGACAAUUCUAGUAGUAAUAAAAGAUUUUAGCCCAGGAUAAGGCUUGCA
This 609-nucleotide long non-coding RNA is filed under the name Chrysolophus pictus (golden pheasant). RNAcentral describes it as "lncRNA (ENSCPIG00010007458.1)". The record is from RNAcentral. Lineage: Eukaryota; Metazoa; Chordata; Aves; Galliformes; Phasianidae.